Odocoileus virginianus texanus is the source of this 942-nucleotide non-coding RNA. The record is from RefSeq and is a predicted model, not a curated record. NCBI's taxonomy places the organism in Eukaryota, Metazoa, Chordata, Mammalia, Artiodactyla, Cervidae.
UCGUGUGCUCUCCCCAAAAUGAUUCUGAAAAUCAUGCCUCCUGUUCACACCGCUGGAACCGGGGCUGUGGGAAAGGGACUGCUCCUGCGGCAGAGGAAACAUGGAGGGGGAGCCCCCUGAAGACCGCUCUGCAGGCUCCCGUCCGCCUGGCCCGCCUGGCCUCCUCCUCAUCCUCCGCAGAGUUCGUUCGGAGGCCACAGCUUUUCCUGCAUACGCUCUGAUGCCUUUCUGCAUCACGACCGCCUGGCCAACCACCCAGCGCCCCACCCCUUCCCCUCUUCAGAGGUGACUCUGGAACCUUCGUCCCUGGCUCAGACCUUCUUGAACCUGCCUGAUGUCAGGGCCCAAGCCCACGGGCGCCUCUGUUCACAGAUGGGCAUGAGAUCCACAAGCAUCACCCACGCUCCACCUCGGCUACCCGCUGCCAUGCUGGGCUUCACCCCUACUCAGCAAUGCCCUGUCUCUCAAAACCCCCUCUUCAAGCUGCUGGUCUCUCCAACUCACCUUUCUAAAACCAACAGACCAACGACGGGAGGAAGAACUGAAGGGAGAAAAGCGAUGCUGAGUGAGUUUGAGAAAACUGAUCUUGCUGGACCUGCCAGUGAGCAGUCCAGGCGGCAGGUACUUGAUGACAAAGUGGAACUGCUGUCACCUGAGUCUCGGAAAGACAAUUUCAAACUUGCCAAUAAUCAAAAGAAUGCAAACAAAUAUGAGCAAACAUUUUCAACCCAGCAGAUUGAUGAAAAGCAAACAGAAUAACCAUAUCCAGAUGGUGAGAGUAUAGAGGAGACAGGUAUUAUUAGACGUCAGAUUAAAAAUUGAUGUAAUAGUUCUAGAAGGCAAUCUGGUAAAAUAUCAAUAUAUGACCAGCCCAGCUUUGAGCAGCAAAGACUUUGAUGCCAACAAUCCACUUUUUGCAGAAAAAACCCAGACAAGUAGGCA